Molecule: long non-coding RNA, 353 nt
Organism: Chinchilla lanigera (long-tailed chinchilla)
Lineage: Eukaryota; Metazoa; Chordata; Mammalia; Rodentia; Chinchillidae
Exons: 3
Source: RefSeq, a predicted model, not a curated record
GUGCGAUAGAUGUGAAGAAAUGCAUACUUCCCAGCCAGGACUGGAUCAGGAGGCUGAGGGGCCAGCUAUUGCCAAAAGCAUGCACAGUGAGAAUAUGUUAUCUCCCCCGUUUCUUGGGAACAUGGAUCUUUCCUCCGUGACCUGGCAUUACUGCUGACUACAAUACAGUGACUUAAGGUGACUUUCAGCAGUACUGACAUUUUAUGGAGCAGGAAGGGAAAAAGGAAUGGCUGCUGUAAAGAGUGAGACCACCCCCUGCCCGGUCUCUGGCUUCCUGUCCUGCCAUGUGGUGUCUCCCACAUGUGCUUCUGUGAUCAUGAUGCCAUCUUCUCUGAGGCCCUCAUCUGAGUCAA